Molecule: ribosomal RNA, 253 nt
Filed under: uncultured bacterium
Lineage: Bacteria
Description: partial 16S ribosomal RNA
Rfam family: Bacterial small subunit ribosomal RNA
Source: RNAcentral
UACGUAGGGUGCGAGCGUUAAUCGGAAUUACUGGGCGUAAAGCGUGCGCAGGCGGUUCCCCAAGCUAGAUGUGAAAGCCCCGGGCUUAACCUGGGAAUGGCAUUUAGGACUGUGGAGCUCGAGUGCGGCAGAGGGAGGUGGAAUUCCACGUGUAGCAGUGAAAUGCGUAGAGAUGUGGAGGAACACCGAUGGCGAAGGCAGCCUCCUGGGCCGACACUGACGCUCAAGCACGAAAGCGUGGGGAGCAAACAGG